GCCCCUGUAGCUCAGGGGAUAGAGCACCGGCCUCCGAAGCCGGUUGCGAGGGUUCAAAUCCCUCCAGGGGCA
This 72-nucleotide transfer RNA is filed under the name Dehalococcoidia bacterium. Its description in RNAcentral is "tRNA-Arg". It matches the Rfam family "tRNA". From Rfam's summary of the family: Transfer RNA (tRNA) molecules are approximately 80 nucleotides in length. Their secondary structure includes four short double-helical elements and three loops (D, anti-codon, and T loops). Further hydrogen bonds mediate the characteristic L-shaped molecular structure. tRNAs have two regions of fundamental functional importance: the anti-codon, which is responsible for specific mRNA codon recognition, and the 3' end, to which the tRNAs corresponding amino acid is attached (by aminoacyl-tRNA synthetases). tRNAs cope with the degeneracy of the genetic code in two manners: having more than one tRNA (with a specific anti-codon) for a particular amino acid; and 'wobble' base-pairing, i.e. permitting non-standard base-pairing at the 3rd anti-codon position. The record is from RNAcentral. Lineage: Bacteria; Bacillati; Chloroflexota; Dehalococcoidia.